UACAGAGGGUGCGAGCGUUGUCCGGAAUUAUUGGGCGUAAAGAGCUUGUAGGUGGUUUGUCGCGUCUGCUGUGAAAAUCCGAGGCUCAACCUCGGACUUGCAGUGGGUACGGGCAGACUAGAGUGUGGUAGGGGAGACUGGAAUUCCUGGUGUAGCGGUGAAAUGCGCAGAUAUCAGGAGGAACACCGAUGGCGAAGGCAGGUCUCUGGGCAUUAACUGACGCUGAGGAGCGAAAGCAUGGGGAGCGAACAGG
Molecule: ribosomal RNA, 253 nt
Filed under: uncultured bacterium
Lineage: Bacteria
Description: partial 16S ribosomal RNA
Rfam family: Bacterial small subunit ribosomal RNA
Source: RNAcentral